AGUGAACGCUGGCGGUAGGCCUAACACAUGCAAGUCGAACGGCAGCACAGUAAGAGCUUGCUCUUACGGGUGGCGAGUGGCGGACGGGUGAGGAAUACAUCGGAAUCUACUUUUUCGUGGGUGAUAACGUAGGGAAACUUACGCUAAUACCGCAUACGACCUACGGGUGAAAGCAGUGGAUCUUCGGACCUUGCGCGAUUGAAUGAGCCGAUGUCGGAUUAGCUAGUUGGCGUGGUAAAGGCCCACCAAGGCGACGAUCCGUAGCUGGUCUGAGAGGAUGAUCAGCCACACUGGAACUGAGACACGGUCCAGACUCCUACGGGAGGCAGCAGUGGGGAAUAUUGGACAAUGGGCGAAAGCCUGAUCCAGCCAUACCGCGUGGGUGAAGAAGGUCUUCGGGUUGUAAAGCCCUUUUGUUGGGAAAGAAAAGCAGCAGGUUAAUACCCCGCUGUUCUGACGGUACCCAAAGAAUAAGCACCGGCUAACUUCGUG
Molecule: ribosomal RNA, 492 nt
Filed under: uncultured bacterium
Lineage: Bacteria
Description: partial 16S ribosomal RNA
Rfam family: Bacterial small subunit ribosomal RNA
Source: RNAcentral